GUCGGGAUAGCUCAGCUGGAA
This 21-nucleotide transfer RNA is filed under the name Photinia loriformis. RNAcentral describes it as "partial tRNA-Phe". Lineage: Eukaryota; Viridiplantae; Streptophyta; Magnoliopsida; Rosales; Rosaceae. The record is from RNAcentral.